GUAGGCUGGGCUGGCGCCAACAGGGUCCAGGUCUGUGCCUGCCAUCGGAGAGGAUGCCACAGCCACAGGGGUGGGCGCUGGCCUGGAGGCCUCCAAGGGGCAUCUCCUGUGAGCCCAGGGGAUGGGCAGGAUCUGAGCGGAGAAGAGUGAAAGUGGAGGAGUGAGGCCAGAACAAAGGCUUUGCCGUGAAAGAGGUGGUUUCCCGCCUGGGCUCAGACCUUCACUCACUGUGUGGCCCAGGCCAAGGGCAAGCGUCUGACCUCGCUGGGCCUUUGUUUCUCAGGGGGAUGAAGCCACCGAGGCAGGGAGAAAAGUGCUUUGCCCUACAAGCAACUAAGUCAUAGGGCCAGGAGCAAAACCCUGAAAACCUCAGGAGACUUGCAGAGCCAUGAGGCUGGCUCAGCAACACAAAAGCCAGGGGCAAGCCUCAGCUCUAGCAGUGCGGUGGGAGCACCCAAGGCCAGUCACAUCCUAGGGUGGCCUGGAGAGUCCUGACCCCUGACGUGCAAGCCGGCAUCAUCCCCGGGACUGUGAGUCUGGUGGGGGUGAUGCCCAGGAAUGUGACAUUGUGUGGCCCAGAGGUACCCUUAAGACUGGAGGAUCACCAGGCGGGCCCUGACCUCAUCACAGGAGCCCUUUAAAAGCAGUUUCCUUUGCCUGGUUGAAGAAAUCGGAGGGAUCAAACCAAAGAAGGUUUUCUGUUGUUGAGAUGAGGGGGCCACGUGGCAAGGAUCUGAGAACUGCUCCCAGCCAACAGCCAGCAAGACAACAAGACCUUAACUGCAAGGAAGUGAGUUCUGCCAACAAGAAGAGAAUGGGCUUGGAGGCAGGUUUGACCCCAGGGCCUCCACACAAGAACUGAGCCCAACUGCCCACUUGGUUUCAGCCUUGGGUUACUAAGAAUUAGGAGGUAAUGAAUGAGAGUUGUUUUAAGCUGUUGGUUUUGUGGUGAUUUGCUAUGAAGCCAUAUCAAACUAAUAUACACACAGAGGUGUUGGCCCCUGGGCCAUUCCUAGGAAGCCAGCUCUGCGAAGGAGGAAGAAGGGCAGAGAGGCACACAGAGCUGCCCACCACAGCAGCUGUGUCCUCCCUGUUGGCCACCACAGUAGCAGUUGGGGAUGGUCAGCAUCCUUCAGGCAGACUCCAGCCCCGGGUGCUGGAGCUCAGGUGCUAGGGAUCAAGAGAAGUAGCCCUCUCUGGGACCUCCAGAGUCUUCUCAUGUGGGUGGGGUAGGACCCACCCAGUCAGGCUCAGAGCACCGCAAUGCCUCACACUCAUUGUGACUCUGGCCAGGCCCUCUCUGAGCCUCUGUGUCCUCAUCUGGAGCACAGGGACCAGGUGUGUGGAAGCCCGUGGCAUAGUGCCAGGAACACAGUAGAUGUGCACAGUGUGCACUAGCAGGAACACACAACAGGGGUACUGACUGUCAGCACCUAGGCAGGCACACGCAAUGGGGUACUGACUGUCAGCCAUACUGACUGUCAGCGUGCUAGCAGGCAUACACAACAGCUGUACUGACAGCACACUAGCAGGCACAUGCCAUAGGUGUACUGACUCUCAGUGCACUGGCAGGCACACGCAAUAG
Molecule: long non-coding RNA, 1585 nt
Filed under: Homo sapiens (human)
Lineage: Eukaryota; Metazoa; Chordata; Mammalia; Primates; Hominidae
Description: HSALNT0402490
Source: RNAcentral